RNAcentral lists this ribosomal RNA (440 nucleotides) under uncultured bacterium. RNAcentral's name for it is "partial 16S ribosomal RNA". It matches the Rfam family "Bacterial small subunit ribosomal RNA", at positions 338 to 795 of the family's 1533-position model. The record is from RNAcentral.
CCUACGGGUGGCAGCAGUAGGGAAUAUUGCUCAAUGGGGGAAACCCUGAAGCAGCAACGCCGCGUGGAGGAUGAAGGUUUUCGGAUUGUAAACUCCUUUUGUUAGAGAAGAUAAUGACGGUAUCUAACGAAUAAGCACCGGCUAACUCCGUGCCAGCAGCCGCGGUAAUACGGAGGGUGCAAGCGUGACGCGGAAACACUGGGCGUAAAGAGAGCGUAGGCGGGAUAGCAAGUCAGAUGGGAAAUCCUAUGGGUUAACCAUAGAAUUGCGUUUGAUACUGGUAUUCUAGAGUAUGGGAGAGGUAGGUGGAAUUCUUGGUGUAGGGGUAAAAUCCGUAGAGAUCAAGAGGAAUACUCAUUGCGAAGGCGACCUGCUAGAACAUAACUGACGCUGAUGCGCGAAAGCGUGGGGAGCAAACAGGAUUAGAUACCCGAGUAGUC